This 450-nucleotide ribosomal RNA is filed under the name uncultured bacterium. RNAcentral's name for it is "partial 16S ribosomal RNA". It matches the Rfam family "Bacterial small subunit ribosomal RNA", at positions 354 to 796 of the family's 1533-position model. The record is from RNAcentral.
GUCGAGAAUAAUUCACAAUGGGGGAAACCCUGAUGGUGCAACGCCGCGUGGAGGAUGAAGGUCUUCGGAUUGUAAACUCCUGUCAUCUGGGAGUAAGACCUGACGGUGAAUAGCCGGCAGGGUUGAUAGUACCAGAAGAGGAAGGGACGGCUAACUUCGUGCCAGCAGCCGCGGUAAUACGAAGGUCCCAAGCGUUGUUCGGAAUCACUGGGCGUAAAGGGAGCGUAGGCGGCGUGGUAAGUCAGAUGUGAAAUCCCGGGGCUCAACCCCGGAACUGCAUCCGAUACUGCCAUGCUUGAGGGUUGGAGAGGUAGCUGGAAUUCUCGGUGUAGCAGUGAAAUGCGUGGAUAUCGAGAGGAACACUCGUGGCGAAGGCGAGCUACUGGACAACAUCUGACGCUGAGGCUCGAAGGCUAGGGGAGCAAAAGGGAUUAGAAACCCGGGUAGUCC